Molecule: ribosomal RNA, 332 nt
Filed under: uncultured rumen bacterium
Lineage: Bacteria
Description: partial 16S ribosomal RNA
Source: RNAcentral
UAUUCCCCACUGCUGCCUCCCGUAGGAGUCUGGGCCGUAUCUCAGUCCCAAUGUGGCCGAUCACCCUCUCAGGCCGGCUACCGAUCGUCGCCUUGGUGGGCCGUUGCCCCGCUAACUAGCUAAUCGGACGCAAGCUCAUCCCAUACCGAUAAAUCUCUUGUCAACCUCCCAUGCGGAAGGCCACGCUCCUGGACAUUAACCGCGCGUUGGCACGGGUAUUUCCUGAUAUGGGGCAGAUUGCUUACGCGUUACUCACCCGUUCGCCGCUGGGCAUUGCUGCCCCGCUCGACUUGCAUGUAUAAGACACGCCGCCAGCGUUCAUCCUGAGCCAA